This 417-nucleotide ribosomal RNA is filed under the name uncultured bacterium. RNAcentral describes it as "bacterial SSU rRNA". It matches the Rfam family "Bacterial small subunit ribosomal RNA", at positions 358 to 772 of the family's 1533-position model. The record is from RNAcentral.
GGAAUAUUGGUCAAUGGCCGGAAGGCUGAACCAGCCAAGUCGCGUGAGGGAAUAAGGCCCUACGGGUCGUAAACCUCUUUUGUCGGGGAGCAAAUUCCGCCACGUGUGGCGGAGUCGAGAGUACCCGAAGAAAAAGCAUCGGCUAACUCCGUGCCAGCAGCCGCGGUAAUACGGAGGAUGCGAGCGUUAUCCGGAUUUAGUGGGUUUAAAGGGUGAGUAGGCGGACUGUCAAGUCAGCGGUAAAACACGGGGGCUCACCCUCAGCCCGCCGUUGAAACUGACGGUCUUGAGUGGGCGAGAAGUAUGCGGAAUGCGUGGUGUAGCGGUGAAAUGCAUAGAUAUCACGCAGAACUCCGAUUGCGAAAGCAGCAUACCGGCGCCCGACUGACGCUGAAGAACGAAAGCGUGGGUAUCGAA